This is a long non-coding RNA of Alligator mississippiensis (American alligator), 1316 nucleotides long. RefSeq lists it as uncharacterized. The record is from RefSeq and is a predicted model, not a curated record. Lineage: Eukaryota; Metazoa; Chordata; Crocodylia; Alligatoridae. The transcript is spliced from 4 exons.
GGCAGCCUGCGGGUCCUCAACACUGUGCCCCCACCCCAGCCCCAGUGCCUGGACCCUGCACAGCAGAGCAUCUCCCCAGGCCAGAGACAUCAAGCGGGAGCAGGGGGGGCCUGGGGCAGCACCCCCCCCAGCAGCUGGAGCUCUCCCCACAGUGGGCCUGCCUGCCCCUGCCAGGCCUGAGCACCCCCCCAGCUGCAACACUCUGGAGCAGCUGCCCUGGGCCCGAGCUGCAGCCGCUGGUCCAAGGCAUCCUGCCCCCAGCGCUGAGCCUGGGAACAGGACCAAGGCCAGACAGGGUGGAUACAGCACCCCCUGGCCUCCUGGGCUCCCUCCUGCUCCUCGCCAAGCCCCCCAGCUGCUGCAAUGGCUGCGACAAGGUAAGACCCCUUGUCUCCCAACCACAGGAUGCAUGACUAGAAACAUCACAGUAGUGCCCAAGCGACUCUGUCCUGAGUACUGCACAUUAUUAGGUGUAUUACGGUAACUCCUGGGCCCACUGGUUCUCUGGCGCUGAGUGCCGCACUUUAUAAGAUGCAAUACAGUAGCACCUGGGGGAGAUCCUCCCCUGCCCCACCCCCUCCUUGGUGCUGGGCAUUGCACAUUUGUCAGGUACUAAAGGUAGUGCCUGGGCACCCGCUGAGGUGUGCUGACAACAGGGAGUGAGGGGCCUGGGCUGAAGGAAGGGGUAGUGGCACAGAGCCCCCCCAAGCUCCUCCCCUUCCCAGGGCCUGCAGCUGAGCUGUGGGGCAGGCACCCCCUGGGAGCCCCAUGAAGGAACGGUGCUGAGGCCAGAGGGAGCCCCCGCAGCAGGUGCAGGAAAGACACAGGAGCGGAGCUUCCCGUGCAGCGUGUGCGGGAAGCAGUUCCGGCGCUCGUCCACGCUGUCCACGCACCUGCUGAUCCAUUCGGACACACGGCCCUUCCCCUGCCCCUUCUGCGGGAAGCGCUUCCACCAGAAGUCGGACAUGAAGAAGCACACGUUCAUUCACACCGGCGAGAAGCCACACCGCUGCGGGGUCUGUGGCCGGGCCUUCAGCCAGAGCUCCAACCUGCUGACCCACAGCCGCCGGCACCGUGGCCACCGCCCCUUUGCCUGCCCACGCUGCCCCCAGAGCUUCCAGCGCAAAGUUGACCUGCGGCGCCACUACGAUGCACACGGGCCCCCCCCAGCGCCCACACCGCCCUAGGCUCAGACCUCCCAGCGCCCCCCUGGAGGCUGUGGCAGCUCCAGGGGGUACCACCCCCCAUGGGCCCCCAGGGCUUCUGCCCCCCACACCUCCAGGGCAUUAAAGGGCAAGCGCCCACAGUCACACACA